Molecule: ribosomal RNA, 366 nt
Filed under: uncultured bacterium
Lineage: Bacteria
Description: partial 16S ribosomal RNA
Rfam family: Bacterial small subunit ribosomal RNA
Source: RNAcentral
CCUACGGGCGGCAGCAGUGAGGAAUAUUGGUCAAUGGCCGAGAGGCUGAACCAGCCAAGUCGCGUGAGGGAAGACGGCCCUACGGGUUGUAAACCUCUUUUGUCGGGGAGCAAAGCGAGGCACGUGUGACUCAUUGAGAGUACCCGAAGAAAAAGCAGCGGCUAACUCCGUGCCAGCAGCCGCGGUAAUACGGAGGAUGCGAGCGUUAUCCGGAUUUCUUGGGUGUAAAGGGUGCGCAGGCGGAGGUGCAAGUCAGCGGUCACAUUGCGGGGCUCAACCCCGGACUGCCGUUGAAACUGCAUCCCUUGUGUGCGCGAGACGUAUGCGGAAUGCGUGGUGUAGCGGUGACCUGCAUCGCUAUCACCC